AACACGUGGGGAACCUGCCCCAUAGUCUGGGAUACCACUUGGAAACAGGUGCUAAUACCGGAUAAGAAAGCGGAUCGCAUGAUCAGCUUUUAAAAGGCGGCGUAAGCUGUCGCUAUGGGAUGGCCCCGCGGUGCAUUAGCUAGUUGGUAAGGUAAAGGCUUACCAAGGCGAUGAUGCAUAGCCGAGUUGAGAGACUGAUCGGCCACAUUGGGACUGAGACACGGCCCAAACUCCUACGGGAGGCAGCAG
RNAcentral lists this ribosomal RNA (249 nucleotides) under uncultured Lactobacillus sp. RNAcentral's name for it is "partial 16S ribosomal RNA". It matches the Rfam family "Bacterial small subunit ribosomal RNA", at positions 112 to 354 of the family's 1533-position model. The record is from RNAcentral. Lineage: Bacteria; Bacillati; Bacillota; Bacilli; Lactobacillales; Lactobacillaceae.